Long non-coding RNA from Chinchilla lanigera (long-tailed chinchilla), 258 nucleotides. RefSeq lists it as uncharacterized. The record is from RefSeq and is a predicted model, not a curated record. Lineage: Eukaryota; Metazoa; Chordata; Mammalia; Rodentia; Chinchillidae. The transcript is spliced from 3 exons.
UGGGAAGUGCUGGGACAAUGAUGAAUGAAACCGCCUCCACCCCUGCCUACCUAGUAUCUAGCAGAGAAGACUAACACCAACCAGGGCCAGCUACGUCCGUCUCUGUGCUCCAAUAGCCAUUGGGUAGUCUCAUCUCGUGGCAUUCAUCAGACUGUAGUGGAUCAAUGACGUCCUUCUUGUCCUCCCUCCCCAGACAGUACACAGUGGUUACCUGUAACUUCAAGGAGCUCAAAACACUCCUCGGAACUUUUCCUGAGC